This 685-nucleotide ribosomal RNA is filed under the name fungal sp. K3. Its description in RNAcentral is "SSU rRNA". It matches the Rfam family "Eukaryotic small subunit ribosomal RNA", at positions 386 to 1077 of the family's 1831-position model. The record is from RNAcentral. Lineage: Eukaryota; Fungi.
GAGAAGGAGCCUGAGAAACGGCUACUACAUCCAAGGAAGGCAGCAGGCGCGCAAAUUACCCAAUCCCGACUCGGGGAGGUAGUGACAAUAAAUACUGAUACAGGGCUCUUUUGGGUCUUGUAAUUGGAAUGAGUACAAUUUAAAUCCCUUAACGAGGAACAAUUGGAGGGCAAGUCUGGUGCCAGCAGCCGCGGUAAUUCCAGCUCCAAUAGCGUAUAUUAAAGUUGUUGUGGUUAAAAAGCUCGUAGUUGAACCUUGGGCCUGGCUGGCCGGUCCGCCUCACCGCGUGUACUGGUCCGGCCGGGCCUUUCCCUCUGUGGAACCCCAUGCCCUUCACUGGGUGUGGCGGGGAAACAGGACUUUUACUGUGAAAAAAUUAGAGUGCUCCAGGCAGGCCUAUGCUCGAAUACAUUAGCAUGGAAUAAUAGAAUAGGACGUGUGGUUCUAUUUUGUUGGUUUCUAGGACCGCCGUAAUGAUUAAUAGGGACAGUCGGGGGCAUCAGUAUUCAAUUGUCAGAGGUGAAAUUCUUGGAUUUAUUGAAGACUAACUACUGCGAAAGCAUUUGCCAAGGAUGUUUUCAUUAAUCAGGAACGAAAGUUAGGGGAUCGAAGACGAUCAGAUACCGUCGUAGUCUUAACCAUAAACUAUGCCGACUAGGGAUCGGACGGUGUUAUAUUUUGACCC